RNAcentral lists this ribosomal RNA (790 nucleotides) under Micrococcus luteus. RNAcentral's name for it is "bacterial SSU rRNA". It matches the Rfam family "Bacterial small subunit ribosomal RNA", at positions 650 to 1436 of the family's 1533-position model. The record is from RNAcentral. Lineage: Bacteria; Bacillati; Actinomycetota; Actinomycetes; Micrococcales; Micrococcaceae.
AGUAGGGGAGACUGGAAAUUCCUGGUGUAGCGGUGGAAUGCGCAGAUAUCAGGAGGAACACCGAUGGCGAAGGCAGGUCUCUGGGCUGUAACUGACGCUGAGGAGCGAAAGCAUGGGGAGCGAACAGGAUUAGAUACCCUGGUAGUCCAUGCCGUAAACGUUGGGCACUAGGUGUGGGGACCAUUCCACGGUUUCCGCGCCGCAGCUAACGCAUUAAGUGCCCCGCCUGGGGAGUACGGCCGCAAGGCUAAAACUCAAAGGAAUUGACGGGGGCCCGCACAAGCGGCGGAGCAUGCGGAUUAAUUCGAUGCAACGCGAAGAACCUUACCAAGGCUUGACAUGUUCUCGAUCGCCGUAGAGAUACGGUUUCCCCUUUGGGGCGGGUUCACAGGUGGUGCAUGGUGUCGUCAGCUCGUGUCGUGAGAUGUUGGGUUAAGUCCCGCAACGAGCGCAACCCUCGUUCCAUGUUGCCAGCACGUCGUGGUGGGGACUCAUGGGAGACUGCCGGGGUCAACUCGGAGGAAGGUGAGGACGACGUCAAAUCAUCAUGCCCCUUAUGUCUUGGGCUUCACGCAUGCUACAAUGGCCGGUACAAUGGGUUGCGAUACUGUGAGGUGGAGCUAAUCCCAAAAAGCCGGUCUCAGUUCGGAUUGGGGUCUGCAACUCGACCCCAUGAAGUCGGAGUCGCUAGUAAUCGCAGAUCAGCAACGCUGCGGUGAAUACGUUCCCGGGCCUUGUACACACCGCCCGUCAAGUCAGGAACAGUUGGUAACUACUAGGUAUGUCUCUC